AAAAAAAGGAAGUCAAAGAAAAUCAAAACCAAUUUAAUAUAAUUGUGAUAAUUGUUUGAGAAAGAUGAAAAAAGAAAAAAAAGAAAAAGGAGAUUAGGUGAUUGAUUUAGAGUUGCCGACAAUAUUAGAUUUUUAGUUGGUAAAGAAAACGUAUUUAACAAAAAAAAAAAGAUUAGAGCUUUAAAUCUCUUGAAAUACUUAAAUGCUAACAUUAAAAAAAAAGAUUAGUUAAGAAAAUGAAAUUAAGGAGAGAUCCGAAUCAGUACAGAGACAAUGACUGAUUAUAUAGAAAAAUUGAGAUAAAGAGAGAUCCGAAUCAGAACUGAGACAAUGACUGAUUAUAUAGCGUAAAAUAGAAGUGACUAGGAAUUAACAAAAACUUUUAAUCAAACAAACAAAAAAGGGAAAAAAGAAAAAGAAAAAGGAGACGUGAACUAAAUAGUAGUAGCGAUUGCGUCAGUCGCUUCAGCUGGCUACCAGAAUAAACAACACAGAAACUUAUCUCCCGUGGGAGAUUAGACGAUGAAUAUUCAUUGCCACUCUUUUGGUUACACUUUGUCACUAGAUGUGAAAACGCUUAAUUACGAAGGCAUAAAAACCUCGUGACUCGGCGCCCCAGCCUAGAGGGAGGGUUCCCUUGCACCUGAUUUGAUCCGCCGGCUUGACUUGGCCCAUUAGCACCAUCAGAUUCAGGACCCGUUUGAGCAUUGUUUUGCUGAUUUGGUGAUUGGGAGUCCUCUGAGGAGGAUGUAAAAUUUUCCUCCAUCCUCUCUGACUUUUCUCUAAAGGGUAAACUUAGAAAGGAUCUCUUUAUAUUGGCUAUCCAGGGGGACGCUGAGGGUCUCCGGGGCACUCCUAUUUUUUCCAUUUCCUCCAUAUAUUUUUGGGAUUUUGCCCUGGCUUUUUCCUGCAGUUCUUCAUCAGACUGGUUUGGCUUAUAAACAACUGUAUCAGGACUUGUUAUCCUGGGCUCUUCACUGGACUGGCCAUUGUGGGUCCGUUUGCGCUUGCGCUUUGACUCUGAUUGUUGUGGCCGGCGUAAUUGGCAUUGGCUUUGUUGGUUUUGGUCUGGAGAUUCAUCCUUUGAUUUUGGUGUAUGAGUGGCUUGGACACGUGUGGUUUCUGCUUGGGUUUCACCAGGCUUCUGCUUAGGAGAAGGGCCUUUCUCAGGACUAGUACCGCCCAUGAUUUGUUCUCAGCAAAAUAUUUGCUCAGUGUAAAUGACUAGUUAGCUAUAUAGACUUGAUAGAGAAGCAUUCAUGUUCGUGAAACUCCCUCUGUAUUUCUUCUCUAUUUCCGUGAAAUAGAUUUUAUUUAUAAAAUAAAUCGUGAGUCUGUUUUGUGACAUGGCACAUCAAAUACAACUGACA
RNAcentral lists this long non-coding RNA (1370 nucleotides) under Citrus x clementina. RNAcentral's name for it is "Citrus clementina (C. clementina) long non-coding RNA (CCLE_LNC000245)". The record is from RNAcentral. Lineage: Eukaryota; Viridiplantae; Streptophyta; Magnoliopsida; Sapindales; Rutaceae.